GCCAGCGGCGAGCGGCUUUGCGCAUCUAUUGCGUUUUACCUGCGGGGUUCAUGUUGCAGGCACAUGGUCUUAUUGGGAACUGUUGCAUCGUUGCUUGCGCUAUCGAUGGAUUGCAGCCAGUUGCGUGCCGGGUGCUGGCGUAUCUAGACGUGUUUCGCGCGACUCGUAUCGUUUUAUCGGACUCUUAUUUUCUAAAUUUGCAUUGUAUUCGGUGAUCAAUUUACUAUUUAAUUGUGAGAUGCAUCUGCCCUUGUACUUGAUACUUGCUGUGCUCUAGCAAUCCAAUGAGCACUACAUUGGGAUUUUGCACCUGAGUCUGACAUCGUAGAAGAACCAUUCUUGCAUCAGAUUGGAUUUUGCACCUGAGUCUGACAUCGUAGAAGAACCAUUCUUGCAUCAGAUUGUAAGUAUUAAAUUUCUUUAUCAUUUCCGUAAAUGAUUUUUGUGAUUAUCUCAAAUUGACCCCCAAAAUUGCAUUUUUAUGUUGGAAGGACUAAUUUUUCCUGUUUUGUAUUACCACACUGACAGUGUCAGUGUUUACAAACAAACUAGUUUUUCUUAUUUCGUGUAAUUCUUGUGCGAUCGCCACGCGGUUGGCUUGCGUAGCCCGUUAGCCUUAUUUUUGUCGUCAGGUGAUGUGCACGCACAUUUUCUUCAUUAUUCUUGAGUUUCCUAAUUUAUCUUCACGUUGUUACGUAAUAAUUUUGAAUGCUUUUUGUAUUGUGCGCGCGUGAUGUGCGGCUUCGUUAAAUCCGGAUUGCACCUUUAUUGCUGCAGAAAUUGUUAACUGUUGAUAUUUUGUAACUGUAAUGUAACUAUUGUUAAAUGUUGUCAAUAAGACACAAUGUAUAAUUAUAA
This is a long non-coding RNA of Dalotia coriaria, 858 nucleotides long. RefSeq lists it as uncharacterized. The transcript has 4 exons. Lineage: Eukaryota; Metazoa; Arthropoda; Insecta; Coleoptera; Staphylinidae. The record is from RefSeq and is a predicted model, not a curated record.